RNAcentral lists this ribosomal RNA (256 nucleotides) under uncultured bacterium. Its description in RNAcentral is "partial 16S ribosomal RNA". It matches the Rfam family "Bacterial small subunit ribosomal RNA", at positions 524 to 777 of the family's 1533-position model. The record is from RNAcentral.
UACGAAGGGGGGCUAGCGUUGCUCGGAAUCACUGGGCGUAAAGGGUGCGUAGGCGGGUCUUUUAAGUCAGGGGUGAAAUCCUGGAGCUCAACUCCAGAACUGCCUUUGAUACUGAGGAUCUUGAGUUCGGGAGAGGUGAGUGGAACUGCGAGUGUAGAGGUGAAAUUCGUAGAUAUUCGCAAGAACACCAGUGGCGAAGGCGGCUCACUGGCCCGAUACUGACGCUGAGGCACGAAAGCGUGGGGAGCAAACAGGG